UACGAAGGGGGCUAGCGUUGUUCGGAAUUACUGGGCGUAAAGCGCACGUAGGCGGAUUGUUUAGUUAGGGGUGAAAUCCCAGGGCUCAACCCUGGAACUGCCUCUAAUACUGGCAAUCUAGAGUCCGAGAGAGGUGAGUGGAAUUCCGAGUGUAGAGGUGAAAUUCGUAGAUAUUCGGAGGAACACCAGUGGCGAAGGCGGCUCACUGGCUCGGUACUGACGCUGAGGUGCGAAAGCGUGGGGAGCAAACAGG
Molecule: ribosomal RNA, 253 nt
Filed under: uncultured bacterium
Lineage: Bacteria
Description: partial 16S ribosomal RNA
Rfam family: Bacterial small subunit ribosomal RNA
Source: RNAcentral